Molecule: non-coding RNA, 496 nt
Organism: Danio rerio (zebrafish)
Lineage: Eukaryota; Metazoa; Chordata; Actinopteri; Cypriniformes; Danionidae
Source: Ensembl
GCGGUGAUUGGGUUUCUGGGGACUGCAGGAGCUGUGAUUUACUGCUCCAAAGGGAGAAGACAACAAACUGGCACUGACUACAGUCAUGUAACGAAAACGGAGGAACAGUCACCUGGAGAAUCAGCAGAAACUUCAUCUUCAGGAGAUUCCCUUUAGGAAUAUUGAAUGACCAAAUUCACCUCCUAAUGCAGCUUUUCCCAGUUGUCAACGUUUGUCCAAUUUCUAGGUGUUGUUUGCAAAAGUCUUAACACAAUUAGGGAACCGUCAAUCUUUCUUGACCAAUACUUUUAACACAACUCAUGUUGUUUUCACACAAUAUUCAGUCAGUUAAUACAUUUCUAAAAUGCUUAUGUUUUUUCACAUAAGCUUUAACCAUAUCAAAAUGCAUUUUGCUAUGCAAGAAGUUUGUUGUAAUUUUUGACACUAAAUACAGUUUAACAUGAAUUUAAAAUCCCUCAAGUCAUUUUAGACUUGAACCAAACAAAGACCAAAGCAA